AGCUGAAGCUUGUCAUCAGUGACAUAAAUCAAACAAGAUGAAUAAAGAGACAGAACCAGAGCUGGGGAAGCAAGGCAUCGACACACAAGGCGUGAACAAAAUCCGAAACCACCGAUGAAAAUAGCCGGCGAAGGUCAAAGGAAAGGUAUCGGUGCUCCGACAAACACCCCAACUGCAGAACUUCUUAACACAACAAAAGAUGACUAUAACAAAAGUGUUACACCCAUUGAUCUGUGAUUGUUGUUCUUCUCAUGUCCCGAAAAAAGGUCAUGAAAGACAUCAUGGCCUCGUUUAUGUCAUCAGCCACGUCAACAUAACCAACCCCUAUUUGUGCUUGUGGCUACGGGUACUGUAUUAUCAAGAUUUCAGGUUCUGCGAAAAAAACUCAAGUCAUGGGUACUACCAAUGCCCUCGUGGAGUGGUGAGUACAAACACCUUCAAUGUUUAAUUUGCUUUUAAAACUGUCACUAAUACAAUUUUUAACUUAAGCCAUGUGUCAUGCGUCAAUCCUACCCUUAUCCUAUUAAAAAUCGUCACCAUUUUGUUUUGUGGGCAAUACACUUCUAUGUUAUGCUUAUAAACGUCUAUUUAUCAUAUGCUUCGCCCAUGUGUGUUGUACACCUAGUGUUGGUGUUUAUUGUUGAUAAAAAAAAAAAAAAA
Molecule: non-coding RNA, 660 nt
Organism: Camellia sinensis
Lineage: Eukaryota; Viridiplantae; Streptophyta; Magnoliopsida; Ericales; Theaceae
Source: RefSeq, a predicted model, not a curated record